CCCAGUGUCCCUGGGCUGUAAAUUGGGGUGCAGGAGCCGGGCAAGGCCCCUGACAGGCGAUGGACGUCAUAUCCCGACUUGGCAAUGGCCAAGCGCCCAUGCUCUCUACGCAAGCUUCAAAGAAACCUCUUAUGCGCCAAGCUCCCUACUCACAGAUGAAUGUACAAGCCACUGACAAGCAGAGCCAAGAGAAGGGAGAUGAGAGCUCGGAGGAGGAGGAGGCAGACCCUCUGGCUGAGAAGCUUCUGAUUUUGUCACCGCCAGCCCCAGAAGAAGAACUCAUGGCAGAGGGACUGUGACACCGAACACACUCUCAACAGGGAAGAACUUGUGCCCUGAACCAGCUGGAACAUCAGCACCAUCUUUAGCCCACAUGUAGCAUUCCAAUAAAUGGACUAUGAAAACA
This is a long non-coding RNA of Ornithorhynchus anatinus (platypus), 406 nucleotides long. RefSeq lists it as uncharacterized. Lineage: Eukaryota; Metazoa; Chordata; Mammalia; Monotremata; Ornithorhynchidae. The transcript is spliced from 2 exons. The record is from RefSeq and is a predicted model, not a curated record.